GACGAACGCUGGCGGCGUGCUUAACACAUGCAAGUCGAACGGAAAGGCCCUGCUUUUGUUGGGUGCUCGAGUGGCGAACGGGUGAGUAACACGUGAGUAACCUGCCCUUGACUUUGGGGUAGCUUCAGGAAACUGGGGCUAAUACCGGAUAGGAGCUCCUGCUGCAUGGUGGGGGUUGGAAAGUUUCGGCGGUUGGGUAUGGACUCGCGGCUCAUCAGCUUGUUGGUGGGGUAGUGGCUUACCAAGGCUUUGGCGGGUAGCCGGCCUGAGAGGGUGACCGGCCACAUUGGGACUGAGAAACGGCCCAGACUCCUACGGGAGGCAGCAGUGGGGAAUAUUGCACAAUGGGCGGAAGCCUGAUGCAGCAACGCCGCGUGCGGGAUGACGGCCUUCGGGUUGUAAACCGCGUUCGCCUGUGACGAAGCGUGAGUGACGGUAAUGGGUAAAGAAGCACCGGCUAACUACGUG
RNAcentral lists this ribosomal RNA (468 nucleotides) under uncultured bacterium. RNAcentral describes it as "partial 16S ribosomal RNA". It matches the Rfam family "Bacterial small subunit ribosomal RNA", at positions 28 to 507 of the family's 1533-position model. The record is from RNAcentral.